RNAcentral lists this ribosomal RNA (276 nucleotides) under uncultured prokaryote. RNAcentral describes it as "partial 16S ribosomal RNA". It matches the Rfam family "Bacterial small subunit ribosomal RNA", at positions 524 to 798 of the family's 1533-position model. The record is from RNAcentral.
UACGUAGGUGGCGAGCGUUGUCCGGAAUUACUGGGUGUAAAGGGCGUGUAGGCGGGGAUGCAAGUCAGAUGUGAAAUACCGAGGCUUAACUUCGGGGGUGCAUCUGAAACUGUAUUUCUUGAGUGUCGGAGAGGAAAGUGGAAUUCCUAGUGUAGCGGUGAAAUGCGUAGAUAUUAGGAGGAACACCAGUGGCGAAGGCGACUUUCUGGACGAUAACUGACGCUGAGGCGCGAAAGCGUGGGGAGGCAAACAGGAUUAGAUACCCGCGUAGUCCCU